Molecule: non-coding RNA, 2323 nt
Filed under: Rhombophryne minuta (tiny digging frog)
Lineage: Eukaryota; Metazoa; Chordata; Amphibia; Anura; Microhylidae
Description: partial contains 12S ribosomal RNA, tRNA-Val, and 16S ribosomal RNA
Rfam family: Bacterial small subunit ribosomal RNA (bases 1-906)
Source: RNAcentral
GUUUGGUCCUAGCCUUACUCUCAACUGUUACUCAACUUACACAUGCAAGUAUCCGCACACCCGUGAAAACGCCCUUACCCCUCCAUACAGGAAAAGGAGCCGGUAUCAGGCACAAAUAUUUUGCCCAUAACACCUAGCCAUGCCACACCCCCAAGGGUAUUCAGCAGUGAUUAACAUUGUUUAUUAGCGCCAGCUUGACUUAGUUAAAGUAAACAGAGCCGGCCAAUUCGGUGCCAGCCGCCGCGGCUACCCCGCUUGACUCAAAUUGAUGUUGUCGGCGUUAAGCGUGAUUAAAGUAACACAUAUAUUAGAAUUAAACUCCUGCCAAGCUGUAAUACGCUCGCCUAUAAGAAACCCCAAAACGAAAGUUAUUCUAACACAUACUUGAACCCACGACAGUCGGGGAACAAACUGGGAUCAGAUACCCCACUAUGCCCAACCGUAAAAUAUCAACCCACACCCAACAACCGCCCGGGAAUUACGAGCCCACCUUAAAACCCAAAGGACUUGACGGUGUCCCACCCACCUAGAGGAGCCUGUUCUAUAAUCGACACCCCCCGAUACACCUAACCACCCCUAGCAUACUCAGUCUGUAUACCUCCGUCGCAAGCUUACCAUGUGAACGCCACAAGUGAGCCCAAAGAUUCACCAUCAAUACGUCAGGUCAAGGUGCAACUAACGGGCUGGAAAGUAAUGGGCUACAAUUUCUAUAAUAGAACACACGAAAAACUACAUGUAACACAAGUCAUGAAGGCGGAUUUAGUAGUAAAAAGAAAAUAGAGCGUUCUUUUUAACCAGGCCCUGGGACGCGUACACACCGCCCGUCACCCUCUUCAAACCCCCACCAAGAAGAGGUAAGUCGUAACAUGGUAAGUGUACUGGAAAGUGCACUUGGACACAAAAUGUAGCUUACCUAAAGUAUUUCGCUUACACCGAAAUGGACGUCAAUUAACUAGACCAUUUUGAGCCAUAACACAAGCCCCUUACUUCCACUACAAGAAUGAACAAACAAUAAAACAUUUCCUCUAUUUAGUAAUGGCGAUUAAAAAAUAAGUAAGAGCUAUAUAAACAGUACCGCAAGGGAAACAUGAAAUAAAAAUGAAAAUCAAAGCACAACACAGCAAAGAUUAAACCCCGUACCUUUUGCAUCAUGGUCUAGCCAGUCUAACCAAGCGAAACGCACUUAAAGUUUGACCCCCCGAAACUGCGCGAGCUACUUUUGAGCAGCCACAGAACCAACCCGUCCCUGUUACAAGAGGGUGGGAAGACUCCAAAGUAGAGGUGACACACCUAUCGAGCCCAGAAAUAGCUGGUUAUUCAGAAAAAGGAUCUAAGUCCCUCUUUAAGCCCCCCCCGUAACUCAACACACCCCACCCCAACUUAAAAGUCACUCAAAUAAGGUACAGCCUAUUUGAAUCAGGAAACAGCCUAAAAUACAGGGUAACGAUUAUCUACGUGGCCAAGUAGGCCUACUAGCAGCCAACUUCAGAAAGCGUCCAAGCUCCUCCACAACCCUUAAUUAAUUCCACUAUUGAUACCCAACCCUCACCUACCACUGAAUGAUCCCAUACCCGUAUGGGAGACAUAAUGCUAGAACUAGUAACAAGAAGAAGAACUUCUCCAAAAUGCAAGCAUACACCAAAAUGAACUAAUCAUUGGCACCUACCGCCUUACCUGCAGUAUUACCCCCCCAUGAAAACCCUACUGCCCCCAACGUUAAUCUCACACAAGUGCAUUACCGGAAAGAUUAAAAAAGAGGGAAGGAACUCGGCAAAUACCAGCCCCGCCUGUUUACCAAAAACAUCGCCUCUAGACAAACUAUAAGAGGUCCAGCCUGCCCGGUGACUAUUAGUUAAACGGCCGCGGUACCCUAACCGUGCAAAGGUAGCACAAUCACUUGUUCUUUAAAUCAGGACUAGUAUGAACGGCCACACGAGGGCCAUACUGUCUCCCCCCUUUAAUCAGUGAAACUGAUCCCCCCGUGAAGAAGCGGGGAUAAUCCUAUAAGACGAGAAGACCCCAUGGAACUUUAAACUUGUACCACUGCCCCUCACUCACCACAUCAACCAAGGCAAUCAUGACUACUAGUCUUUCGGCUGGGGCGACCACGGAGAAAAAUCUAUCCUCCACGAUGAAAGGAACCUCCCCUAAUCCAAGAGCCACUGCUCUAAGAAUCAUUAAAUUGACAAUAAUUGACCCAUACAUUUGAUCAACGAACCAAGCUACCCUGGGGAUAACAGCGCAAUCCAUUUCAAGAGACCCCAUCGACAAAUGGGCUUACGACCUCGAUGUUGGAUCAGGGCAUCCUGGUGGUGCAGCCGCU